CAAAUUGGCGCCCGAACAGGGACAAGUCUGAACAGGAUUUGGACACUGCUGGCAGUGAUCCAGGGCCACGGUUGGACGGAAUAAAGGAGAAGCCGGUCCUGCAACGCAGCCCAGGAGGUGGAAGGGACAAGAAUCCCCGCACCCGCGCCGGGAAGGUGAAAAGGACGUGGAGGUCCCCGCACCCGGGAUGAGCCUAUUUAGGGUCCCGCCGGAAAAGCGCCGCCGAGGUCUUUGCAAAGGCUGCAAUCGACGUAUAUAAAGGGCCAACCUGGGUGCCUAGUCGGUGUGUUAAACCAGCCAUUGAAGAAAAGUCAUCAAGUACGAAUAACAGCAACCAUGGCUGAUCUAACGGCACAAGGGAUUUUGGUUGCAUUAUCUUUGACAAUGACGGCUGGCUGCGUCUGAUCCUUUGUUGAUGAGUUGAUUAUGUUUGAAAUGGUUAAGGGAUCAUACGCAAAAAAUUGUAGUACAAGAUAGUUGGUUUGAAGGUUGGUUUAAAUCUGUUUUUGGGAACAUGGGUGGAUGGUUUUUUCUUCGUCAAAGAGGAACUUCGUUUUCUACUUAUAGUUAUAUUGAUUAUAGUUGCUGCAAAAUAAAAACGGGGGAAUUGUG
This is a long non-coding RNA of Anas platyrhynchos (mallard), 612 nucleotides long. RefSeq lists it as uncharacterized. The record is from RefSeq and is a predicted model, not a curated record. NCBI's taxonomy places the organism in Eukaryota, Metazoa, Chordata, Aves, Anseriformes, Anatidae.